This 552-nucleotide ribosomal RNA is filed under the name uncultured bacterium. RNAcentral's name for it is "partial 16S ribosomal RNA". It matches the Rfam family "Bacterial small subunit ribosomal RNA", at positions 356 to 900 of the family's 1533-position model. The record is from RNAcentral.
AGGGAAUCUUCCACAAUGGACGCAAGUCUGAUGGAGCAACGCCGCGUGAGUGAAGAAGGUUUUCGGACCGUAAAGCUCUGUUGUUGGUGAAGAAGGAUAGAGGUAGUAACUGGCCUUUAUUUGACGGUAAUCAACCAGAAAGUCACGGCUAACUACGUGCCAGCAGCCGCGGUAAUACGUAGGUGGCAAGCGUUGUCCGGAUUUAUUGGGCGUAAAGCGAGCGCAGGCGGAAGAAUAAGUCUGAUGUGAAAGCCCUCGGCUUAACCGAGGAAUUGCAUCGGAAACUGUUUUCUUGAGUGCAGAAGAGGAGAGUAGAACUCCAUGUGUAGCGGUGGAAUGCGUAGAUAUAUGGAAGAAUACCAGUGGCGAAGGCGGCUCUCUGGUCUGCAACUGACGCUGAGGCUCGAAAGCAUGGGUAGCGAACAGGAUUAGAUACCCUGGUAGUCCAUGCCGUAAACGAUGAGUGCUAAGUGUUGGGAGGCUUCCGCCUCUCAGUGCUGCAGCUAACGCAUUAAGCACUCCGCCUGGGGAGUACGACCGCAAGGUUGAAAC